GACGAACGCUGGCGGCGUGCCUAACACAUGCAAGUCGAGCGGUAAGGCCCUUUCGGGGGUACACGAGCGGCGAACGGGUGAGUAACACGUGGGUGACCUGCCUCUAGCUCUGGGAUAAGCCUGGGAAGCUGGGUCUAAUACCGGAUAUGACCUCGCGGUGCAUGUUGCGGGGUGGAAAGCCUUGUGCGGCUGGGGAUGGGCCCGCGGCCUAUCAGCUUGUUGGUGGGGUGAUGGCCUACCAAGGCGACGACGGGUAGCCGGCCUGAGAGGGCGACCGGCCACACUGGGACUGAGACACGGCCCAGACUCCUACGGGAGGCAGCAGUGGGGAAUCUUGCGCAAUGGGCGAAAGCCUGACGCAGCGACGCCGCGUGAGGGAUGACGGCCU
RNAcentral lists this ribosomal RNA (388 nucleotides) under uncultured bacterium. Its description in RNAcentral is "bacterial SSU rRNA". It matches the Rfam family "Bacterial small subunit ribosomal RNA", at positions 28 to 417 of the family's 1533-position model. The record is from RNAcentral.